CUGUGUGAUUGCUGGCUGUGGAUGAAUGCUGAUCAAACUUUGGUCAUUAUGUAUUUGAACAUCAUCUGUCUUGACAGACUGUUGAGGACUAUACAGUUAUUAAGAAUAUAGCAGCUGUGAAUCAGGAUAGGACCCUGUCUGUUGUGUGCUCAUUCUUCUAGAUUAUUCUUAAGGGGAAAUGAAAAGGGAGGAGUAACAAAAACAAAACCCCUUAUGUAAUGAUCAACCAAGUUGGAGCAUAUGCCAGGCACUGCACAUGGGCUGUCUGUUCUCACGGCAUCUCUCAUUGAUAUGCACUGGUAUGUUGAGACUACUGUCUAUGAACUUGGGCAGUGAAGCAACGAUAAUGAAAUAUUUUUAGUUAGUGCUGUUUUAGUGUUCCAUAUAUUUGCUUCUGCUGCCUCAUAUUUUGGGUAUAUUCUAAAUAUUGUGAAGUUGAAUCUUUGUGUCCACAAAUUAUGGUACUAAAUUCAAACUUUCUUCCCUCUAUAUCCAUAGCCUUAAAUUUACAACAUUGUAGAACACUGACUAUAUUUCUUUGUGAUUUGCAUUUGUCCGUGGUUUUUUUUCAGGCAUGAUGAAUAAAUGCAGUACAUUGUUUCCAAAUGACAUAAUCUCCGGAAACCUAUAAAAUCAUUUUGUGUUUAACUGGCUGUUAACACUUCUGCCAUGUUAACAGCUAGAAUUUUAUGGAGACGAAUAGGAAGCUUACUGCUUAUGUAAGUCCUGCUUUGGAACUGCAGUGCAAGCUGUUCACAACAGAAAUGCAAAUAGCUUCACAAUCUUGAGCCUUCCAGUCUGCUCUUUGCUCCUGGAUUACUGUGAUGGCACAUUUACAUUUACUUUGACAACACUACCUGCCACUGAUAAAGAGUGUCUGCCUAAGAGCUCUGCUUCCUGCAAGGGAGAACAGCUGCAGUGUUCCAAUUACAUCUCAGUCCCAAGAACCUCAAGGACACUGCUCUUCUGCAAAGGCAAGUUUUGGAUGUUUUAAUCUUGACAAGGUAGGGUUUUUUUGUUGUUUGUUUGUUUGUUUUUUUAAUAUCAAAAAGUGCAAAAACAUUAAAAAGCGAAACAAAAGUCCUGAAAUGAUGUAAAAACUGUUUCCAAAUCUUUUAUUUAUUUAUUUAUUAAAUCAUUGAGCAUUUCUCAUUUGAGCAUUGAGGAUUUUAUUUCUCUGAUGUAUCUAAUCAAUUUAUUAUGGAUCUCUUCAAAUUCUGUUUUCCUCCCUGUGUAACACCGAAGCCUAGAGUAGGAUUUCUUCACUUGCCUGUGAAUGUGAACUUCUUAUUCAGGAGAGCCAUCUGAUGAGUCAUUCUUUCAUUCUUUGAGUGAAAAUCAAUUUUUUAUCUCUUUUUUUUUCUGCAAGGAUCUGGGGUGAAAAGUGUGAUAAUGUUCUCUGUCACAGAUCUGUGCAUUCCUAAAGAGAAGUUCUCUUGGGAGAGAAUGUAUUACAGGUAAUGAUUUUGCUUGCCAGCCCUGUAAUGCAGGGAUAGCUACAUUCACUGGAGUUCUUUUGAAUACUCCUGUAGGUUUUUUCAUCAAAGACCAAACCCAAAUCCCACCAAUGUUUGUGGGAACCUGCUAGCUUAUUUAGGCUUGCAUUACUACUAUAGAAACUACAGAGCACUUGAAGGAAGUGCUUAUAUCUGGGCACUUUUCAUCAGAGACUCUCUAAUGUUUUUUCUCUGUUAGCAUAGACAGCAUUGCAAGCAUUUGACUUCUUGGAAAAGCUUAUUUCUUCAGGUGGGAGUUCAGAAGUGUUGGGCCAGGUUGGUGUCAUGGCACAACCUGUGUCCAGGCACUCACAGCACACUGCACUCAAAUACUGGGAUACUAGGAAGGGACAAGUGGUUUCUGCUGAAUUCCUGCUCUAAGUUUACUGGGAUCAGAGCAGCCUGCAUGGAGCCCUGCCUCCUUCCCACCUGUGUGCAGGUGCUUUGCUGCCUGGUAUUGCCCCUUGAGCUUUAGUUCUGCUUUUCAGAUCUGUGCCU
RNAcentral lists this long non-coding RNA (1994 nucleotides) under Coturnix japonica (Japanese quail). Its description in RNAcentral is "lncRNA (ENSCJPG00005018789.1)". Lineage: Eukaryota; Metazoa; Chordata; Aves; Galliformes; Phasianidae. The record is from RNAcentral.